UACAGAGGGUGCAAGCGUUGUUCGGAAUUACUGGGCGUAAAGGGCGUGCAGGCGGUUUGUUAAGUUCAGGGUGAAAGCUCCCGGCUCAACUGGGAGAGGUCCUUGGAUACUGGCAGACUUGAGGAGGGUAGAGGAGAGUGGAAUUCCCGGUGUAGUGGUGAUAUGCGUAGAUAUCGGGAGGAACACCAGUGGCGAAGGCGGCUCUCUGGGCCCUACCUGACGCUGAGACGCGAAAGCGUGGGGAGCGAACCGG
Molecule: ribosomal RNA, 253 nt
Filed under: uncultured bacterium
Lineage: Bacteria
Description: partial 16S ribosomal RNA
Rfam family: Bacterial small subunit ribosomal RNA
Source: RNAcentral